UGAUAUAUAUUCAAAUUCUGGUCA
Molecule: non-coding RNA, 24 nt
Filed under: Arabidopsis thaliana (thale cress)
Lineage: Eukaryota; Viridiplantae; Streptophyta; Magnoliopsida; Brassicales; Brassicaceae
Source: RNAcentral